CUCAAUAAAUUCUCUCUCAACUUCACUAGUCUUCAUUAUCCAUUCUUCAAUUCUCUAACAACCUUCAUAUUUAUCUCUAAAAACUACAACUUCAUGAUAACAACUCUUCAUCAAAUUUUUUCUCCAAUCUCUCUGCAAUCCUCUAUCACCAGAAAAACCAGAAAAUUACCUGCACCUUUUCAACCUUCUACAACCUACUUUCAUCGAGGAAUCUGUAUCAAAUCAACAACACUUCCCUUCAAUCUUGACCGUGUCUUCAUCAACAUCCUAACUUCAAACAAUUGUCUACACUCUGCAAUCGCAACUAUACAAUCAACAACAACAACAUCACGAUAG
Non-coding RNA from Vicia faba (fava bean), 336 nucleotides. NCBI's taxonomy places the organism in Eukaryota, Viridiplantae, Streptophyta, Magnoliopsida, Fabales, Fabaceae. The record is from the annotation of a GenBank genome assembly.